Molecule: long non-coding RNA, 2060 nt
Filed under: Helianthus annuus (common sunflower)
Lineage: Eukaryota; Viridiplantae; Streptophyta; Magnoliopsida; Asterales; Asteraceae
Description: sRNA HanXRQr2_Chr06g0241881
Source: RNAcentral
UUGUUUUCAAGAACUUUGAAGUUAGAAAGAAUACCAAGUCUGCAAGGUUAAAAGUUUUGAAAGUUUAUGAACAACAAUUUUGAUGUACUAAGCAUGCAAAUGUCACAUAUUCAAAGAGGUUGGUUCUAUAGAUUCAUUUAAUUUGGAGAAAAAUGGACAAGCCGGAAAAAACAAAGUUGAAUGGUAUUAGGUUUAGUUAGAAUUGAGAGGGACCCGCCAUUUGAACGAGCGGAUCUAGAGGAUUUGAUGAGGCUUUUACGCCUUGGUAAUGGGACAACACACUUAACUUAUAGUGGUUUGUCCUAGACUUAAAGCGACGUUGACAAGAUUGAGACAAGUAAGACGAGAAUGGUGAAAGUUUUAAUAUAGAUGAGGGUUGAAUCUCUUAGUGAUGUGAUUAUCAGAAGAGAUAUUCGCAAGAGAAAGAAGCGCGGUGCAAGUACAACCCUAGCUUCCAAGGGCAUUCAAAGUUGCACGACCAAAAGGUUAUGAGAAAAAAAAGAUAUUGUAUGUUUUACGUAAGUUCGUACUAAAAAAUAUUACCAUAUGCUAAUCCAAACACUUAGAAUGACUUUUCUUGAGCAAAAAUCAAGAUGUUUCUCUUAUGAGGUUUACUAAGCCAAAUCUUUAGGUAUUUCUUGAAAGAGAUUUACAUUUAGUGAUUGUCACAAAUAAACAUUAGAUAGCUUUAUAUGUACUCCUAAUUAUGCAUACACUCUAAAUAAACAUAUGACUACUUCCCACGGCCGUAUUGCUAUGUAUCCGCGCUAACUAUUUAGAUUCAGUCAGAGACAAAAUCGAGCAAUCUAUAGGAUCGUCGAUAAGGAUUCCCUCAAAUGAUCGAAAUUCACCCUUUUGGAGGUUGAUCAUAAAUUCUAACUUUGUUUAUAUAUUGAAAUUAAUUCACUCAAAACCAUGACCAUGAGUCCAUCAUAGGGCAUUAUUCUUUUCUUACUAAUGUGGUACGAUACCCUUUUUGACUAUUUAAUGCACAAACUUACUAUUUCCUAUCAAAAUAUGUAAAUUUGCCUUCAUGUAUAUGGUAUAAACUUGACACCUAUGUUCCAUUUAAUCAUCAAAAUAUGAUAGAUGCUUGUUGCAUUAAAUAUUUAAAUGACUACCCCAAAAUUCAUAUUUUAGUAACAAACCAUAACUAUGUUAUACUAAAAAGAUAAAAAAUAAAAAUAAAAACAAGUUUCAUACAAUUUAAUUAGAAUUAAUCAGUAAACCUACCUGUAAUGAAACCUUCACGGUCUCUUGUGAGUCGAGUUCUUACAAUCCCAGGAUGUACACAGUUUACCGUCACAUUUUCUAGAAUAGUAACAUAUUGAGAUAGGGUAAUAUUAGUGUGAAUAUAUAACUUUUUUUUGAGCAUAUCAAUUUCUAGAUUUUCUUGGAUAUAGCAACUUAUUCGGAUAGGUUAAUAUUGAAUAUAUAAUACUCUUUUUGAACAUAUCAAUUUCUAGAUUUUCUAGGAUAUAGCAACAUAUUCGGAUAGGUUAAUAUUAGUGUGAAUAUAUAACAACUUUUCUUGACAUUAUUUUCUGUGUGAAUAUAUAAUAACACUUUUUAACAUUAUUUUCUGGAUUUUCUAGAAUAAAUGAAUAUGAGAUUUAAGCUUCUAAACUUUUGAUUUUUGUUGUGAAGUACACCACUUACAUGAGAAGAUUUAGAGGCAGAUUAAGAGCUUCAAAUUCCGAAACAAAUUGCCUAACCGAUUUCAUAGAACUCAAAUCCAGAUGCAUGACGGUUAUCUUCGAAUCACAAAACUCGGAUGCAAAUCGAUUCUUCAUUUCUGUAGCCACUUUCAGGUUCCGAGCUGGUAAAACAAGGCGCGCGCCUCGCUUAGCCAGGACUCGAGCUGUCUCAGCACCAAUUCCGGAAGUAGCACCUUUGAUGAUGGCAGUGCAGGAGUGAAGAUCACCGCAGUUAUCGGUCACUUGUUCCGCGGUGGUUUUAGAGCCGUAGCCGCUCGGUCCGGUUGAGCCGAGAAGAUACUUGAUCGUUUCAAGCAUUUCUUGAUGAACUUUUUUUAUUGUGUUUAUUGUACGGUUAGCAUU